This 875-nucleotide ribosomal RNA is filed under the name uncultured archaeon. RNAcentral describes it as "bacterial SSU rRNA". It matches the Rfam family "Archaeal small subunit ribosomal RNA", at positions 18 to 879 of the family's 1478-position model. The record is from RNAcentral.
GGGACCCGACUGCUAUUUGGGUGAGGAUAAACCAUGCGAGUUGUAUGGGAUACCUAAAUUUCCCAUAGCAAACUGCUUAGUAACACAUGAUCAACUUACCCUAUGGAGAAAUAUAACCUCGGGAAACUGAGGAUAAUGCUUCAUAGUUGAAUAGGCUUGGAAAAGUUUUUCAAUGAAAGGGAUAAGAUAAAUGGUUCUUAUCUGCCAUAGGAUAGGAUCGUGCUCGAUUAUGGUUGUUGGUGAGGUAACGGCUCACCAAGCCGAUAAUCGAUAGGGGCCGUGAGAGCGGGAGCCCCAAGAUGGGUACUGAGACAGCGACCCAGGCCUUACGAGGCGCAGCAGGUACGAAACCUCCGCAAUACACGAAAGUGUGACGGGGUUACCCAAAGUGUUCUUAUAGAACUGUGGCAGGUGAGUAAUGUCCCCUGCUAGAAAGGAGAGGGCAAGGCUGGUGCCAGCCGCCGCGGUAAAACCAGCUCUUCAAGUGGUCGGGAUAAUUAUUGGGCUUAAAGUGUCCGUAGCCGGUUUAGUAAGUUCCUGGUAAAAUCAGGUAGCUUAACUAUCUGUAUGCUAGGAAUACUGCUAUACUAGAGGGCGGGAGAGGUCUGAGGUACUACAGGGGUAGGGGUGAAAUCUUAUAAUCCUUGUAGGACCACCAGUGGCGAAGGCGUCAGACUGGAACGCGCCUGACGGUGAGGGACGAAAGCCAGGGGAGCGAACCGGAUUAGAUACCCGGGUAGUCCUGGCCGUAAACGAUGCAUUCUAGGUGAUGGUACGGCCAUGAGCCGUGUCAGUGCCGUAGGGAAACCGUUAAGUGUGCCGCCUGGGAAGUACGGUCGCAAGGCUAAAACUUAAAGGAAUUGGCGGGGGAGCAC